This 513-nucleotide ribosomal RNA is filed under the name uncultured bacterium. RNAcentral's name for it is "partial 16S ribosomal RNA". It matches the Rfam family "Bacterial small subunit ribosomal RNA", at positions 28 to 523 of the family's 1533-position model. The record is from RNAcentral.
GACGAACGCUGGCGGCAUGCCUAAUACAUGCAAGUCGAGCGAACAGAUGAAGUGCUUGCACUUCUGACGUUAGCGGCGAACGGGUGAGUAACACGUAAGGAAUCUACCUAUAAGCGGGGGAUAACAUUCGGAAACGGGUGCUAAUACCGCAUAAUAUCUUCUUCCGCAUGGAAGAAGAUUGAAAGACGGCUCUGCUGUCACUUAUAGAUGACCUUGCGGUGCAUUAGUUAGUUGGUGGGGUAACGGCCUACCAAGACGAUAAUGCAUAGCCGGCCUGAGAGGGUGAUCGGCCACAUUGGGACUGAGACACGGCCCAAACUCCUACGGGAGGCAGCAGUAGGGAAUCUUCCGCAAUGGGCGAAAGCCUGACGGAGCAAUGCCGCGUGAGUGAAGAAGGCCUUCGGGUCGUAAAACUCUGUUAUAAGAGAAGAACAAAUUGUAGAGUAACUGCUACAGUCUUGACGGUAUCUUAUCAGAAAGCCACGGCUAACUACGUGCCAGCCGCCGCGGUAA